GACGAACGCUGGCGGCGUGCUUAACACAUGCAAGUCGAACGGAAAUGCCCUGCUUGCAGGGUGCUCGAGUGGCGAACGGGUGAGUAACACGUGGGUGAUCUGCCCCUUACUUUGGGAUAAGCCUGGGAAACUGGGUCUAAUACUGGAUAGGACCAUGCUGUAGGUGGUGUGGUGGAAAGAUUAGUUUCGGUAAGGGAUGAGCUCGCGGCCUAUCAGCUUGUUGGUGGGGUAAUGGCCUACCAAGGCGUCGACGGGUAGCCGGCCUGAGAGGGUGGACGGCCACAUUGGGACUGAGAUACGGCCCAGACUCCUACGGGAGGCAGCAGUGGGGAAUAUUGCACAAUGGGCGCAAGCCUGAUGCAGCGACGCCGCGUGGGGGAUGACGGCCUUCGGGUUGUAAACUCCUUUCAGCCAUGACGAAGCCCUUGUGGUGACGGUAGUGGUAGAAGAAGCACCGGCUAACUACGUG
Molecule: ribosomal RNA, 469 nt
Filed under: uncultured bacterium
Lineage: Bacteria
Description: partial 16S ribosomal RNA
Rfam family: Bacterial small subunit ribosomal RNA
Source: RNAcentral